GCGGAGGAAAAGAAACCAACAGGGAUUGCUCAGUAACGGCGAGUGAAGCGGCAACAGCUCAAAUUUGAAAUCUGGCCUCGGCCCGAGUUGUAAUUUGCAGAGGAUGCUUCUGGCAACGUGCCUUCCGAGUCCCCUGGAACGGGGCGCCGGAGAGGGUGAGAGCCCCGUACGGUUGGACGCCGCGCCUGUGUGAAGCUCCUUCGACGAGUCGAGUAGUUUGGGAAUGCUGCUCUAAGCGGGAGGUAAAUUCCUUCUAAAGCUAAAUACCGGCCAGAGACCGAUAGCGCACAAGUAGAGUGAUCGAAAGAUGAAAAGCACUUUGGAAAGAGGGUUAAAAAGUACGUGAAAUUGCUGAAAGGGAAGCGCCUGCGACCAGACUCGCGCCGGGCGAAUCAUCCAGCGUUCUCGCUGGUGCACUUCGCCCGGUCCGGGCCAGCAUCGGUUCUGACGGGGGGACAAAAGCCCGGGAAAUGUAGCUCCCUCCGGGGAGUGUUAUAGUCCCUCGCCUAAUACCCCCGCCGGGACCGAGGACCGCGCUUUACGCAAGGAUGCUGGCAUAAUGGUCGUCGGCGACCCGUCUUGAAACACGGACCAAGGAGUCGAACAUUUGUGCGAGUGUUUGGGUGGAAAACCCUCACGCGCAAUGAAAGUGAACUUUGGUGGGAGCCUCGGCGCACCACCGACCGAUCCUGAAGUUUUCGGAUGGAUUUGAGUAGGAGCAUAACUGUUCGGACCCGAAAGAUGGUGAACUAUGCCUGUGUAGGGUGAAGCCAGAGGAAACUCUGGUGGAGGCUCGCAGCGGUUCUGACGUGCAAAUCGAUCGUCAAACAUGGGCAUGGGGGCGAAAGACUAAUCGAACCAUCUAGUAGCUGGUUUCCGCCGAAGUUCCCCUC
Molecule: ribosomal RNA, 893 nt
Filed under: Lulworthia cf. purpurea FCUL280207CF9
Lineage: Eukaryota; Fungi; Ascomycota; Sordariomycetes; Lulworthiales; Lulworthiaceae
Description: eukaryotic LSU rRNA
Rfam family: Eukaryotic large subunit ribosomal RNA
Source: RNAcentral